This 333-nucleotide unclassified non-coding RNA is filed under the name rhizosphere metagenome. RNAcentral's name for it is "partial ribosomal RNA internal transcribed spacer region". The record is from RNAcentral.
GUAGGUGAACCUGCGGAAGGAUCAUUAACACGUAUCCAACGUUAAACAACCCUGUGAACCUUGAACGUGCUCUCGUACACGCUCUAGCAGCAAUCCCUGGUAAAUCAUUGUUGACCAGCUAUUGAGUCUGGGACUUCUGCUAGAAAACCAUACGAUACGAGCGCCAGAGUAAGUGCGGCCUGAUGGCGCAGUAAACGAUCGCUGUAGGCCCACACGGCCGGCGACCGGGCCUCUGUGCUUCGGCACCUAAUGACACCAGUUUUCUGACCCGGUGCGCUGUAACAACCGCACCACAAACUCGAACAACUGUUAACAAUGGAUAUCUUGGUUCUU